Molecule: transfer RNA, 80 nt
Filed under: Actinomadura macrotermitis
Lineage: Bacteria; Bacillati; Actinomycetota; Actinomycetes; Streptosporangiales; Thermomonosporaceae
Description: Actinomadura sp. RB68 tRNA-Trp
Source: RNAcentral
CCGGGUGGCGGCCCGGCGGGCGGUGGCCUCCAGCGCCGCCGCGACGGCCUCGUCCGGGCCGGUCGCGGCGGCGGCCCGGU